GGUUAAGCGACUAAGCGUACACGGUGGAUGCCCUGGCAGUCAGAGGCGAUGAAGGGCGUGCUAAUCUGCGAUAAGCGCCGGUAAGGUGAUAUGAACCGUUAUAACCGGCGAUACCCGAAUGGGGAAACCCAGUGUGAUUCGUCACACUAUCAUUAACUGAAUCCAUAGGUUAAUGAGGCGAACCGGGGGAACUGAAACAUCUAAGUACCCCGAGGAAAAGAAAUCAACCGAGAUUCCCCCAGUAGCGGCGAGCGAACGGGGAGGAGCCCAGAGCCUGAAUCAGCAUGUGUGUUAGUGGAAGCGUCUGGAAAGGCGCGCGAUACAGGGUGACAGCCCCGUACACAAAAGCGCAUGUGCUGUGAGCUCGAUGAGUAGGGCGGGACACGUGGUAUCCUGUCUGAAUAUGGGGGGACCAUCCUCCAAGGCUAAAUACUCCUGACUGACCGAUAGUGAACCAGUACCGUGAGGGAAAGGCGAAAAGAACCCCGGCGAGGGGAGUGAAAAAGAACCUGAAACCGUGUACGUACAAGCAGUGGGAGCACCCUUUGGGUGUGACUGCGUACCUUUUGUAUAAUGGGUCAGCGACUUAUAUUCUGUAGCAAGGUUAACCGAAUAGGGGAGCCGGAGGGAAACCGAGUCUUAAUUGGGCGUUAAGUUGCAGGGUAUAGACCCGAAACCCGGUGAUCUAGCCAUGGGCAGGUUGAAGGUUGGGUAACACUAACUGGAGGACCGAACCGACUAAUGUUGAAAAAUUAGCGGAUGACCUGUGGCUGGGGGUGAAAGGCCAAUCAAACCGGGAGAUAGCUGGUUCUCCCCGAAAGCUAUUUAGGUAGCGCCUCGUGAAUUCAUCUCCGGGGGUAGAGCACUGUUUCGGCUAGGGGGCCAUCCCGGCUUACCAACCCGAUGCAAACUGCGAAUACCGGAGAAUGUUAUCACGGGAGACACACGGCGGGUGCUAACGUCCGUCGUGAAGAGGGAAACAACCCAGACCGCCAGCUAAGGUCCCAAAGUCAUGGUUAAGUGGGAAACGAUGUGGGAAGGCCCAGACAGCCAGGAUGUUGGCUUAGAAGCAGCCAUCAUUUAAAGAAAGCGUAAUAGCUCACUGGUCGAGUCGGCCUGCGCGGAAGAUGUAACGGGGCUAAACCAUGCACCGAAGCUGCGGCAGCGACACUGUGUGUUGUUGGGUAGGGGAGCGUUCUGUAAGCCUGUGAAGGUGUGUCGUGAGGC
This 1227-nucleotide ribosomal RNA is filed under the name Salmonella enterica subsp. enterica serovar Enteritidis. Its description in RNAcentral is "partial 23S ribosomal RNA". It matches the Rfam family "Bacterial large subunit ribosomal RNA", at positions 1 to 1269 of the family's 2925-position model. The record is from RNAcentral. Lineage: Bacteria; Pseudomonadati; Pseudomonadota; Gammaproteobacteria; Enterobacterales; Enterobacteriaceae.